This 73-nucleotide transfer RNA is filed under the name Micropruina glycogenica. It matches the Rfam family "tRNA". From Rfam's summary of the family: Transfer RNA (tRNA) molecules are approximately 80 nucleotides in length. Their secondary structure includes four short double-helical elements and three loops (D, anti-codon, and T loops). RNAcentral also lists the same sequence under 7 other names. Lineage: Bacteria; Bacillati; Actinomycetota; Actinomycetes; Propionibacteriales; Nocardioidaceae. The record is from Rfam by way of RNAcentral.
GGGCCUAUAGCUCAAUUGGCAGAGCAGCGGACUUUUAAUCCGCGGGUUCUGGGUUCGAUUCCCAGUGGGCCCA